AGCCAUUCCCCGAGUGCAGAGUGCCACCACCGAGCCUGGCCUCACCUUCCCCAGAGCCGAGCACGGUGACAUUUCGCUGGGAGGAACGCGAGCACGCCGGGGGCCAAGGCUGCUCUGUGCCAAGUCCCAGCCCACAGCAGAUUUAGCAGCCAAGUUAGAAAGUACUCAGAUGACAGAGCAGAUAACAAAACCAUCGACAGAACCUGAACUAAUCCCCUUGGGCUGCUACUGGGCAUUUGCUGUUAUUAUUUCAUGGCACACCAGCGAAGCGCAUGUCUAUAAUAACCCAACCACGCACACAUUCCCAGCACAAGGAGCUCUCUGUCUUCCCCCGACCCCCAAAUCCCUCGCACGCCGCUGGUCUCCUCGGGCAGCCCCAGGUGCUGGGAUCGGGCAGGGUGUGCCGGAGGACAGAGCCCUGCUGCUCCUCUGCUUUGGUCCAUCCCUUCCGUCUCGUUUUCCCGUAACACUUCCCGGAGCUGCCGGCACGGUGUGCAGCGGGUGCCGGAGCAGCAGCGAGCGCUCUGCUGCCUGCAGGGCACGGGGAUGCCCUGUCCUCUCCUAAACUCCCCUCGUCCCGCUCCGCGUUUUCCCUCGGGAGCACAGCUGUGACAACUCCCCAACAAGCCAGAGGGAGCCCGGGGAGCGAGAGGCACCGCCGGGGCAGGAGCAGCAGCACCGGGGCCGGAGAUAACCUUAUGAAUUGAUGUCUCCAGCAUCACUGCUCAGUGAGUGACAAACGAGGACACAUCCCCAUCAAGCAAAUCUCUGUUCUCACCUCUGCUUUUGGGAUUCCCCUUUUCUGUGGCCCUGGCACCUUGUUUUUCUCCUGGGCAGCCAAAGUUGGUGUUUGUACAGCUGAUGGUGGGUGGAAACAAGGCUGGAGGUCAUGUGCAGUGAACUGCCCAGGCUGCAGUUGCUGAACUCUGAGGCUGCAUUGUCACAAACUCCCUGUGGAAGCCUCAGAUCCAGGGAGGCACCCAGAGACCACACUGAAGACACUGAGGAGCCAUCUACAAACAGCACCAUGAGAGCUUGCACAAGGCUGGGAAUGAAUCCAGCACAGCAUCCAGUGUCCAGCCUUUCCAGAGAGAUGAGGGGUUUGCUCAGACCACUGACUUUUCAAAAGGCCAGGCUUUUCCUAGGAGGAUGAUGAUGAUCCUGAGGAGGAUGUUUGCAGCUUUCCUGUGGAUAGACUCUGCAUUGAGCUCAGCACCCUGGUGGAGAUGCCAACUGAAAGAAAAGCAUUUCAGCAGAAAUUGUGAGAAAUCAGAGUGCACAACCAGGCUGCCCUGUGCAUUUGCAAGAGUUAUUGACUUUCCACGUGAAAAGGAGAUACCACUGUCUUCUUUUACAGGAAGGAAAAGAUGGGAUCUGAUAUUUGGUUUCUGAGAAAUUUCUGGUGGGAGAUGAUGGCUGGGGAGCCUCAGUAGGACAGGGAGAGCAAUGUGGUGACUAAAACUCAUGAAACAUUUUGGAGAGCUGGGACAAAGGACCCCAAAUCACAGGUGUCUGUGCACUGGUGAGUAGAGGCUGCAGCAGCUCCCAGGAUCUCUCUGGGUGCCAUAGGAGCUGUCUUCACUUGGGAAGGCAGUCACUGGCACGUUCCAGUUCAAAGCAGUAGCUGCUGAUGGGUUGGUGCCCAUGGGCUCCCCUGCCUCACACACAGAGACAUCCUCCAGUCUGUAGCUGGUCUUGUUUCACUACCAUGAAACUCCAUCAGUGUCCCCCUGGAGCUGUGUGGGGAAUCACCAGGGCAGCUCCUGCAGAUGUUUGCUGUCUGUCAGUCAGUCUGUCUGUCUGCAGAGAGAGGGGGAACCCGACUGGCCAGGGAGCAGCUGUGCAGGAGGGAGGGAAUGGCCUCAGGGCAGAUGUUUGGGUGAGGAGGAAGUGCUCAGUCCUGAGCCUGCUGGCCUGGACACUGAAAAUAAAGCAUGGGCAGGUGAAGCAGGGAGCCUGUGCAGGUGUGAGAUCCCUCCAGGGCUCUCUCAGCACUGUUAUCCCCUGCAAGGGGUGUGAGGUCACUUCAGACUCCCUGAAACCUCCUGAGAGAUCCCAGCCAGAGGACAGGCAGCAAAGGUCACAGCCUCAUUGCUCAGAUCCCCAGACAGGCACAAAAAAACCCCAUGGCUUUUUAGCUGGCUUUUCACCUCUGGACCCAGGUUUGCUGUCUUGCCCUGUGUACAGCAGGUGAAUUCACAGUAAUUGUCCUAGUGAUCUGAGGAUACAUCUCAUGUGUUUUGAAGAGGUAAUUCCUUGACUUCUCUGACUGAAGAAUUUGGGAACACCAAAGCCCCUUUUUCAGUCACAAUUAAUGGCAUCAGCCUUCAGCUGGGAUGAGAACACAACUCCAAGAGCACAAGCCCCACUUCUGGAUGUGUGAGUACAAAGGAAAUGGAACUUCCAAGAUGCACUUGCCACAGGGAGAUUUGGAAAAUUGUCUUUCUACCUCUUCUGCUUUCCUCACCAGGAGCUGAGGGUGUCCACAUUUGGUACCUCACUUUAGUUCAAGUGGCACAGGUAAAGGCAGGGAUGUUCCUGCACCUCUCAGAACCCAUGGGCCUCUUCUGAGAAGGAAAACCUCUCAGUGGAGCUCAAACAGGAAACAUUCCUGACAUUAAUGGAUUCAGGUCCAGAAGAGCCUUCAGACCAAAAGUGGGCCAGCAUGAACGAGUUAAAAUCCUUUCCUUUGCCUGGUGAAAUGUAUUGAAAACUACAUUGUUCAUCUGUUGAAACUUCACAGCUGUUGAGAUUGCCCUGGGGGCAAACCACAUCCAAGAAAUGGCAUGUAGAUCCUGGAGCACGGGAUUUGAAAGCUGGAGCAGAGCUCUGAGUGCUGCCUCCCUUCCCUCACAGUCACUCUGGCAUCUGCAGCUCCUCCACUCAGACACUGCAGGUUUUUCUUCCUCCCUUUGUCAUCUCCCACUCCUGCAGCACAGCCACUUUGUUUCAGGCACUGAAUUUUGGCUAACUGAGCAAGGGUGCAGGCAGGAAGGUGUCUGUGGGGAGUGAGACAGGGCUGGGUGACACCAUGGCACAUCACCUGCCUGUGACACUGCUACUCUGUCAUCCCUGGGGGAGCAGUGGUGAGGCAGCCUGUGGGAAAUGUGUCAUUUGCUCGUGAAAAAUCUGUGAAUUCUGUUUAGUGGUAGCAUUUCUUUUCCCUUUUCUUUCUGCAACUCUGCUUACUAAAAACUGUACAGGAUAAAAAGGUAAUUCUUGCAUAUUUACUUCUGACCCGAGUGUUCUGUGUGAACUUGGGGACUGGAAUCAGCAACUUGGCACAGGCAAAUUAGGAGUAGCUAGAGCUCAAAGAACAAAAUAAAAGGAGGAGGUGAGAAACCCACUGACUGCACACACUCAGUCACAAAUGAUUCAUGGAGUAAUUUUGAGUAGCAAACACAUGGGUAAGAACUGAAGGGUUUGCUUCUGUCUUUUUGGGGGACUGUCCACAAACAAAAAUAUUGGCGAAUUCAUCAGACGCUUUCUCCUGCUUUGAAUAGUCUGCCCAGAUCCCCGAGCAAUCACUCAGUGCAAUUUGCUGCCGAGCUAAACAACUUCAGUCGGGGUACACCCAGAGCACUGCCCGGAUCUGCCCCU
Molecule: long non-coding RNA, 3600 nt
Organism: Oenanthe melanoleuca
Lineage: Eukaryota; Metazoa; Chordata; Aves; Passeriformes; Muscicapidae
Exons: 3
Source: RefSeq, a predicted model, not a curated record